RNAcentral lists this transfer RNA (73 nucleotides) under Neotoma lepida (desert woodrat). It matches the Rfam family "tRNA". Rfam says of the family: Transfer RNA (tRNA) molecules are approximately 80 nucleotides in length. Their secondary structure includes four short double-helical elements and three loops (D, anti-codon, and T loops). Lineage: Eukaryota; Metazoa; Chordata; Mammalia; Rodentia; Cricetidae. The record is from Rfam by way of RNAcentral.
UGGGGUCUAGCUCAGUUGGUAGAGUGACUGCCUAGCAUGCAUGAAGCCCUAGGCACAACCCCUAGCACCUCAU